This is a long non-coding RNA of Cervus elaphus (red deer), 733 nucleotides long. RefSeq lists it as uncharacterized. The transcript is spliced from 4 exons. The record is from RefSeq and is a predicted model, not a curated record. NCBI's taxonomy places the organism in Eukaryota, Metazoa, Chordata, Mammalia, Artiodactyla, Cervidae.
UUUGCUAGCCUUGCCCAAGGGCUGUUUUAGCACCCCAUAAAUCCUGUAAUUGUAUGGGAUCCUUUGGCAGUGUGUGGAUUUUUCUGCUAAAUCACAGUGGGAAGAAGAUCAGGAGGAACCCUGAAAAAUAAAGCAUUAUCGUGGCAUUAGAAGAUUCACAGUGGGAGUGAAUAGCACUGGCACAACCCCAGCCCAGCCUUCAUUACUGCUUUUUCAAGUUAUUUAAGGAAGUCAUUGAAGACAAUCUCUGGUUUACUCUGCACAAGUAGCCACAAAAUUUUGGCAAGGAAUUGACCCAUUAAUGUCAUGGGGAGUAGAGCGUCUUCUAACAGAACCACACUGAGUCCUCUGAAUAGAGCUCUCAUCUGGAAUGAAAAUACUGUGUUCGCCAUCUAGACUGUGGCUCGUCUGUACACACAACCGAUUUACCAGGAAACCAACUACCCAAAAAGAAAAAAUAAAGAAUUAAAGCAAGAGUGUUUAUUUUGACCAUUCAAGUGCCCAAGGAGUAACCUCUUUCUCAAUUUUCGAGAGACUCCAGGUCUAUUGAAGCAGGCCCAGGCCCAGAUGCAGCAGUGGACAGUCCUACCAGCCUGUUUGUGCUCCAGUCUUCCUAACAAGGGGUCAGCUCUGGACAAGGUCACAGCCCACGACUUCUCCCUGGGACAACAUUCUUAGGGUUCAUUGUAUAUGACUGACUCUCCUCUUCUGAGACCCUGCAAGCUCACCACAA